UGUUCUGGUGUCUUCUGAUGUC
Molecule: non-coding RNA, 22 nt
Filed under: Rattus norvegicus (Norway rat)
Lineage: Eukaryota; Metazoa; Chordata; Mammalia; Rodentia; Muridae
Source: RNAcentral